This 253-nucleotide ribosomal RNA is filed under the name uncultured bacterium. Its description in RNAcentral is "partial 16S ribosomal RNA". It matches the Rfam family "Bacterial small subunit ribosomal RNA", at positions 524 to 776 of the family's 1533-position model. The record is from RNAcentral.
UACGGAGGGUGCGAGCGUUGUCCGGAAUCACUGGGCGUAAAGGGCGCGUAGGUGGCGCGGGCAGUCAACGGUGAAAGUUCGGGGCUCAACCCUGAAUCGGCCGUCGAUACUCCCGGGCUUGAGCACUGUAGAGGCAGAUGGAAUUCCGGGUGUAGCGGUGGAAUGCGUAGAGAUCCGGAAGAACACCGGUGGCGAAGGCGGUCUGCUGGGCAGUAGCUGACACUGAGAGACGAAAGCUAGGGGAGCGAAUGGG